This 2273-nucleotide long non-coding RNA is filed under the name Monodelphis domestica (gray short-tailed opossum). RNAcentral's name for it is "lncRNA (ENSMODG00000039513.1)". The record is from RNAcentral. Lineage: Eukaryota; Metazoa; Chordata; Mammalia; Didelphimorphia; Didelphidae.
CUAGAGGAUUUUCAGAUGCUUAUGUCAACUUGUUUGGGCAUCUGCACCCUUAGUCCAAUUCUCUAUAUGGAGUGGAUGGCAUUUCCCAUCAUGAUUCCUUUGAAGUUGUGCUGGAUCAUUGUACUGCUCAGAGUUCCUAAGUCUUUUGUGAUUUUACAGUAUUGCUGUUCCUGGACAGAUUGUUCUGGUUCUGCUCACUUCACUUUUCAUCACUUCUUCUCCCCCACCCCCUCCAGGUUUUUCUGAAACCUUCAUCAUUUUUUAUGUUCCGUGACAAGUCAGACACAGUUCUGUUUCUACUGUUUCACACUCAGCCAAUCAUUUUUUUAUCUUCUCACUCUUAUAGCCUCAAAAAAAGGUCAUGCUUUUGGAGCUCGCACAGAAAAACUGAGAAUUGAGCAUUUGUAAAUUGGUAUGAACUCCCUGGGGGGGAAAAAAGACCAUAGAAAAAGCAGCUGUAGGGUUAGGAGGUUAUGGCUCCUAACAGCCUUCACAGAAAUGUCUGUUAUGUUGUGUAGAGCACAUUAGCAAAAAUCAUUAAGAAACUGGACAGCAAUAAUGGAAGCAAGCUGGCGUCCUCCAGCUCAGCCCAAGAUCAUUGUCACGAGUGCCAUUGGUCUCAGCAGACUCCACUCCAGUUUCGCAUAUUCCUGCCAGGGGAGCUUGUCCCACAGACCCUCUUUUCUACCUGGCUGGGAAGAGGCAGGAGAAUGUCUACUAGACAGCUUCCCUUUUGUAUCAUCCUUUCAGUACCUCAGUAUUUCAAGGCUUUCUAGUGGUAUUUAAAUAAUAAACUCUAUGAAAUUUUGGGAGUUGUUUGGAAUCUUUUUUUUUUUUUUUUUUUUUAAUUUUAUAGUAUUUUAUUUGAUCAUUUCCAUGCAUUUUUCAUUAAAGACAAAGAUCGUUUUCUUUUCCUCCCUCCCACCCCCCCGUGGCCGACGCGUGAUUCCACUGGUAUCAUAUGUGUUCUUGACUUCAACCCAUUGCCAUGUUGUUAGCAUUUGCAUCAGAGUGUUCGCUCAGAGUCUUUCCUCUGUCAUGUCCCCUCAGCCAUUGUAGUCGGGCAGUUGCUUUUCCUUGGUGUUUCUACUCCCUCAGUUUGUCCUCUGCUUUUGGAUAGUGUUUUUUUUCUCCUUGAUCCCUGCAGAUUGUGCAGGGACAUUACACCACCACUAAUGGAGAAGUCCAUUAUAUUCGAUAUACCACAGUGUGUUUGUCUCUGUGUACAAUGUUCUCCUGGUUCUCGCUCUCUCUCGCUCUGCAUCACUUCCUGGAGGUUGUUCCAGUUCACAUGGAAUUCCUCCACUUUAUUGUUCCUUUGAGCACAAUAGUAUUCCAUCACCAACAUAUACCACAAUUUGUUCAGCCAUUCCCCAAUUGAAGGGCAUGCCCUCGUUUUCCAAUUUUUGGCCACCACAAAGAGCGCAGCUAUGAAUAUUUUUGUACAAGUCUUUGUGUCCAUUAUCUCUUUGGGCUACAAACCCAGCAGUGCUAUGGCUGGAUCAAAGGGUAGACAUUCUUUUAUCGCCCUUUGUGCAUAGUUCCAAAUUGGGUGGCAUUAUUCUUAAAGAGACUACUUGAGAAGAGCUUACAUUAUCAGAGGAUCAUUCUGAACUAUCAGGGGAAAGGUAACUUUAAAUGUCAUUUCUUUCCUUGUGUACUUUUUCCCAUCCAACUGCUGGAACUGUUGACAAUUGCUUUGCAGCAUUUGGCUAGUCAUGCUUCUUUGUUCCUAUUGGCACUACUUGGGAGUCAUGGCUCUGAGCUGCUCCCAGACUGCCCAGAGAUACUUGUCUAAGUUGUGUUAGAUGCCACUGAUAAGCACAGCUCCUCUUUCUGGUCAUCUAACAAAAGUUGACAUUGCCAGAAAAUUGAUAAAGGUGAGCUUACAAAAAAGCAAAGUAUAUUGAAAUAGGGCUUAAGGCACUCUUAGCACAAAAAUACAAGAUUGAGGGUUAUUUUGCUUUUAGGAUUUCUGUAGGUAUCAUUUAAACCAAAAACUGACCACACCCUUGGUAAGAGGCCAAUUACUAUACAUGUGUGAUUACUAUAUAUGUGAUUUUAUAUAUAUGUGAAUUACUAUAUAUGUGAUUACAAAGAUAGUACAAUACAUAGGUGGUAGGCUGUUCCAUUGGCUCCUUUCUAUCCUCAUAAAUUAUUUGGAAUGCUGAUAUAGAAGGCUUUUCUUUAUGUUUUUGAAUAAGGCAAGAAUUUGUAUUUCCCACUUUUUCCUCUGUUAAUAAACAUCUUUAAUCCAAGUAUCCUUUCCUUCA